RNAcentral lists this ribosomal RNA (301 nucleotides) under uncultured bacterium. Its description in RNAcentral is "partial 16S ribosomal RNA". It matches the Rfam family "Bacterial small subunit ribosomal RNA", at positions 509 to 807 of the family's 1533-position model. The record is from RNAcentral.
CAGCCGCCGCGGGAAUACGGAGGGAGCUAGCGUUGUUCGGAAUUACUGGGCGUAAAGCGCACGUAGGCGGCUUUGUAAGUUAGAGGUGAAAGCCCGGGGCUCAACUCCGGAAUAGCCUUUGAGACUGCAUCGCUUGAACACGGGAGAGGUGAGUGGAAUUCCGAGUGUAGAGGUGAAAUUCGUAGAUAUUCGGAAGAACACCAGUGGCGAAGGCGGCUCACUGGACCGUUGUUGACGCUGAGGUGCGAAAGCGUGGGGAGCAAACAGGAUUAGAUACCCGAGUAGUCCCUGUCUCUUAUAC